UACCAGCUCUCCGAGUGGUGUGGAUGUUUAUUGGGCCUAAAGCAUCCGUAGCUGGUUGGGCAAGUCCCCUGUUAAAUCCACCGAUUUAAUCGUUGGAGUGCGGGGGAUACUGUUCGGCUAGGGGACGGGAGAGGCAGACGGUAUUUUCGGGGUAGGGGUGAAAUCCUGUAAUCCCGGGAAGACCACCAGUGGCGAAGGCUGUCUGCUAGAACGCGCCCGACGGUGAGGGAUGAAAGCUGGGGGAGCGAACCGGAUUAGAUACCCGGGUAGUCCCAGCUGUAAACGAUGCAGGCUAGGUGUUUGGGCGGCCACGUGCCGCUCUAGUGCCGCAGGGAAGCCGUUAAGCCUGCCGCCUGGGGAGUACGGCCGCAAGGCUGAAACUUAAAGGAAUUGGCGGGGGAGCACCACAAGGGGUGAAGCUUGCGGUUU
Molecule: ribosomal RNA, 429 nt
Filed under: uncultured archaeon
Lineage: Archaea
Description: bacterial SSU rRNA
Rfam family: Archaeal small subunit ribosomal RNA
Source: RNAcentral